AACAAAUUAAUAUAAUGGACCAGGUGAUGCUAAGUGCUCUAAAGGAAAAUGAAGCAGGGUAAGGUAAUAGCAUGUGAAAGGAGAGGAUGCUACUGGGUGGUUAGGGGAGGCCCAGAGUAGGCGAAGCAGGGGAAAUUCUCGGGGUUGCACAUAUCAGAAGUCACAGGUAAGUGGACUUCUGUGCAUGGAGGCUCUGCAACCAAGCAGCCUCCCUCCCUUGGUCAGUUCGUGCCAGAAUCAGGAUUCCUGGGCUGCCCUAGUCGCCUGUAGAGGACUUGAAUCAUAAUCUUCAGAAGCCAAGCGGGAGAGAAAAGGUCCCUGCCUCUGCAGUGCGAAGAGAGUCCAGGGUAAAGAAACUGAGGCACAGAAAAAUUAAGUUGCUUGCUCAAGCUCCCAGGGGAGAUCCAGGAUUGGACAGUCUGAUUCAGAAACUGUGCUCAUAAUCACCGUACUAUACUUUAUCUAGUUGACAAUAACCACAUUUGAUGAAUGUGGCAAAACCGCAGAACAGCAACUCAACAUUCUGCAGCCUUAGUCGCAGCCAGGCACCGUGGACCACAGCCAGGACGAGGGUGCUGCUGCCGCCGCCCCCAGGAGACCUGGGGAGCGUGGCCUUGUCUCCCAUAAGCAUUGCUUCUGAUUUACAGCCCUUAAAAGGCAGGAAACCCUCUAGAAUAAUGACUCAUUUUUAUUACACAUGGGCUUUCAGGGAAAUUUUAACAACCCCUAUUUCUCCUUUUUUAUACAGGUUACAUUUUUGGUCUAUUUUAAACAUCUUCAAAUCUGAUAAAUAUGGGUCCAUUCUCUAUAAGAUCUAGAAGUUGCCAUUUGAAGAGUAUUUUGCUGCAUCUUCCAGCUGUGAGCAUCAUACAUAGGGUAUAUGAUUGCAUGAAAAGAUACCUUCUUUUUUUUUUUUUUUUUUUUUUAGAUGGAGUCUCACUCUAUAACCCAGGCUGGAGUGCAGUGGUGAGAUCUCAGCUCAUUGUGGUCUCUGCCUCCUGGGUUCAAGCUAUCCUCCCACCUCAGCCUCCCGAAUAACUGGGAUUACAGGCAUGCACCACCCCACCCAGCUAAUUUUUGUAUUUUUAGUAGAGACGGGGUUUCACCCUGUUGGCCAGGCUGGUCUCAAACUCCUGACCUCAAGUGAUCCACCCACCUUAGCCUCCCAGAGUGCUGAGAUUACAGGUGUGAGCCACGGCCCCAGUGAAAAUGGAUCUUCACAUGCAAAGUUUCAAAUGGAAAGAAUAUUAGAAAUCACUUAGAUUGGGAGGCCGAGGCGGGCGGAUCACGAGGUUAGGAGAUUGAGACCAUCCUGCCUAACACGGUGAAACCCCGUCUCUACUAAAAAUACAAAAAAUUAGACAGGUGCGAUGGCCGGCGCCUGUAGUCCCAGCUACUCACGAGGCUGAGGCAGG
This 1415-nucleotide long non-coding RNA is filed under the name Homo sapiens (human). RNAcentral describes it as "HSALNT0048267". Lineage: Eukaryota; Metazoa; Chordata; Mammalia; Primates; Hominidae. The record is from RNAcentral.